RNAcentral lists this transfer RNA (82 nucleotides) under Canis lupus dingo (dingo). It matches the Rfam family "tRNA". From Rfam's summary of the family: Transfer RNA (tRNA) molecules are approximately 80 nucleotides in length. Their secondary structure includes four short double-helical elements and three loops (D, anti-codon, and T loops). Lineage: Eukaryota; Metazoa; Chordata; Mammalia; Carnivora; Canidae. The record is from Rfam by way of RNAcentral.
GCCUGGGUGGCUCAGUGGUUGAGCGCCUGCCUUUGGCUCAGGUCGUGAUCCCUGGAUCCGGGAUCGAGUCCCGCAUCGGGCU